GGAAGGAGCCCGGGGAUGGAGGGAUGGGGGAAGGAAAGGGAGGAUGCUUUGCCCUGGCCUCACCUCAGCUCGGUGGGUGGGGACGGGCGAGCCCCUCGCCUCCUGCUCCUCCCCAGCAGCCGCGAUGGUCACUAACGGGCCGGGGGUGCGGUGCGGCUCCCCUCACCCAGCGCCGGGUCCCCGCCUCCUGCUCUCGCCCCGUCCCCGCCUCCUGCUGCCCGAGCCGCGCUCGCUGGGCUCUGAGGGAGCCGGGAGCCGCCGCCGCUAGGGGAGGAGGGAGCGCGCCUGCGCCACCGCCCGGGCGGCGAGACGGGAGGAGGCAGCGGGGCCGCCGGCGGCUCCAGUGCCCGGGGAGGGGGAGUCCGGUCCCGGCCCGGCUACCUGAGAGCGGCGCGGGGCUCGGGCGGCCUCAGUGCGCAGGUGCGCCAAGAGCAGCAGAAGUGACCAUGGAAGAGGCAGCGGGAGGGAGAAUCCAGAGCCCACUUGCCAGGAGUCAGUACAGGAGGAAAUGGGAGAGCUUGGAGGCAGAUGCCAUCCUAGAGAAAAAUCUUGAGAGCAAGUCUUUCAGCCACAAGAAACCAAUCGACUGUUCCUAA
RNAcentral lists this long non-coding RNA (596 nucleotides) under Chrysemys picta bellii (western painted turtle). Its description in RNAcentral is "lncRNA (ENSCPBG00000000608.1)". The record is from RNAcentral. Lineage: Eukaryota; Metazoa; Chordata; Testudines; Emydidae.